This 336-nucleotide unclassified non-coding RNA is filed under the name soil metagenome. Its description in RNAcentral is "partial contains 5.8S ribosomal RNA, internal transcribed spacer 2, and large subunit ribosomal RNA". The stretch from base 1 to 120 matches the Rfam family "5.8S ribosomal RNA", at positions 35 to 154 of the family's 154-position model. The record is from RNAcentral.
GAUAAAGAACGUAGCGAAAUGCGAUAAGUAAUGUGAAUUGCAGAAUUCAGUGAAUCAUCGAAUCUUUGAACGCACAUUGCGCCCGCCAGUAUUCUGGCGGGCAUGCCUGUUCGAGCGUCAUUUCAACCAUCAAGCCCCCGGCUUGUGUUGGGGACCUGCGGCUGCCGCAGGCCCUGAAAACCAGUGGCGGGCUCGCUGUCACACCGAGCGUAGUAGAUUUUCAUCUCGCUCAGGGCGUGCUGCGGGUUCCGGUCGUAAAAAGCCUUAUUUACCCAAGGUUGACCUCGGAUCAGGUAGGAAGACCCGCUGAACUUAAGCAUAUCAAUAAGCGGAGGA